Molecule: microRNA, 21 nt
Filed under: Human betaherpesvirus 5
Lineage: Duplodnaviria; Heunggongvirae; Peploviricota; Herviviricetes; Herpesvirales; Orthoherpesviridae
Description: hcmv-miR-UL148D
Source: RNAcentral
UCGUCCUCCCCUUCGUCCGAG